RNAcentral lists this ribosomal RNA (253 nucleotides) under uncultured bacterium. RNAcentral's name for it is "partial 16S ribosomal RNA". It matches the Rfam family "Bacterial small subunit ribosomal RNA", at positions 524 to 776 of the family's 1533-position model. The record is from RNAcentral.
UACGUAGGGUGCAAGCGUUAAUCGGAAUUACUGGGCGUAAAGCGUGCGCAGGCGGUUUUGUAAGUCAGAUGUGAAAUCCCCGGGCUUAACCUGGGAACUGCGUUUGAAACUACAAGGCUAGAGUGUGACAGAGGGGGGUGGAAUUCCACGUGUAGCAGUGAAAUGCGUAGAGAUGUGGAGGAACACCGAUGGCGAAGGCAGCCCCCUGGGUUAACACUGACGCUCAGGCACGAAAGCUAGGGGAGCGAAUGGG